UACGGAGGGUGCGAGCGUUGUCCGGAAUCACUGGGCGUAAAGGGCGCGUAGGUGGCCUGUGGAAGUCUGCGGUGAAAGCCCGGCGCUCAACGCCGGGUCGGCCGUGGAUACUCUCGGGCUUGAGCUUACUAGAGGCAGAUGGAAUUCCGGGUGUAGCGGUGGAAUGCGUAGAGAUCCGGAAGAACACCGGUGGCGAAGGCGGUCUGCUGGGGUAAUGCUGACACUGAGGCGCGAAAGCGUGGGGAGCAAACAGG
RNAcentral lists this ribosomal RNA (254 nucleotides) under uncultured bacterium. RNAcentral's name for it is "partial 16S ribosomal RNA". It matches the Rfam family "Bacterial small subunit ribosomal RNA", at positions 524 to 776 of the family's 1533-position model. The record is from RNAcentral.